RNAcentral lists this ribosomal RNA (357 nucleotides) under uncultured Spirochaeta sp. Its description in RNAcentral is "bacterial SSU rRNA". It matches the Rfam family "Bacterial small subunit ribosomal RNA", at positions 1030 to 1382 of the family's 1533-position model. Lineage: Bacteria; Pseudomonadati; Spirochaetota; Spirochaetia; Spirochaetales; Spirochaetaceae. The record is from RNAcentral.
UAUACAAGGUGCUGCAUGGUUGUCGUCAGCUCGUGCCGUGAGGUGUCGGGUUAAGUCCCAUUAACGAGCGCAACCCCUAUCAUUACGUUGCCAUCAGGUCAAGCUGGGGACUCUAAUGAAACUGCCUACGCAAGUAGUGAGGAAGGUGGGGAUGACGUCGAAAUCAGCACGGCCCUUACGUCCAGGGCUACACACGUGCUACAAUGGCCGGUACAGAGCGCAGCGAGGCCGCGAGGCGGAGCGAAUCGCUUAAAGCCGGUCCCAGUACGGAUUGGAGUCUGCAACCCGACUCCAUGAAGUUGGAAUCGCUAGUAAUCGCGCAUCAGCCAUGGCGCGGUGAAUACGUUCCCGGGCCUU